AGAGUUUGAUCCUGGCUCAGAAUGAACGUUGGCGGCGUGGAUUAGGCAUGCAAGUCGUACGCAUAGCUUCGGCUAUGAGUGGCGCAAGGGUGAGUAAUGCGAAGGUAACCAACCCUGGUGUUGGGCAUAGCCGCGGGAAACUGCGGGUAAUUCCCAGCGACGUCACGAGAUGGCAUCAUCUUGUGACCAAAGGUGUGAUUCCGCUCUAGGACGGGCCUUCGUGGUAUUAGGUAGUUGGUGAGGUAACGGCUCACCAAGCCGACGAUGCCUACCGGGUGUGAGAGCAUGACCCGGCACACUGGAACUGAGACACUGUCCAGACACCUACGGGUGGCUGCAGUCGAGAAUCUUCGGCAAUGGGCGAAAGCCUGACCGAGCGACGCCGCGUGAGGGAUUGAAGGCCUUCGGGUUGUAAACCUCUUUCGUAGAGGAGGAAGGGGCCGUGAAGAACGGUCUUUGACCUAUUCUAGGAAGAAGCUUGGGCUAAGUUCGUG
This 494-nucleotide ribosomal RNA is filed under the name uncultured bacterium. RNAcentral describes it as "bacterial SSU rRNA". It matches the Rfam family "Bacterial small subunit ribosomal RNA", at positions 8 to 507 of the family's 1533-position model. The record is from RNAcentral.